GCAGGAAACGUAAUUAACAACAAAAACAACAACAAACGAAGCGCACCGAAGCACCGUGGCGGCCAUCAACGGCGCCAACGUGCAUGAAAACAACGUUCUGCCUGAGUGGAAUACGGACUGCAGCCCAUCACACCAGUUUAACAUGAAGAUGAGAAGGACGAGGUGAAGCUGAGCUCUGGCCUGAAGAGGUAUUACGUCAAUGUUUGUUAGCAGAGAGAAUGACAUUCUUCUUUAUAUUGUGGCAACCCACGAAGCAGCACCCUGGACAGCGCCUCAAGAGAUCAGCACCAAGGUCUGGGGCACCGACGAGCCAGAGGUCAGUGGCGGAGUAACAGGGACUCCUCGAGGCAACUAGCAGACCGGUUUACAACCUGAUGACAGCGGGGACGGCCAAUCACACGCGCAACAGCAGAGCCA
Molecule: non-coding RNA, 417 nt
Organism: Gasterosteus aculeatus aculeatus (three-spined stickleback)
Lineage: Eukaryota; Metazoa; Chordata; Actinopteri; Perciformes; Gasterosteidae
Source: RefSeq, a predicted model, not a curated record